UACGGAGGGUGCAAGCGUUAAUCGGAAUUACUGGGCGUAAAGCGUGCGCAGGCGGUUCGUUGUGUCGGCGGUGAAAGCCCCGGGCUUAACCUGGGAAUGGCCGUCGAAACUGGCGAACUGGAGUGUGGCAGAGGGGGGUGGAAUUCCGCGUGUAGCAGUGAAAUGCGUAGAGAUGCGGAGGAACACCGAUGGCGAAGGCAGCCCCGUGGGCUGACACUGACGCUCAGGCACGAAAGCGUGGGGAGCAAACAGG
Molecule: ribosomal RNA, 253 nt
Filed under: uncultured bacterium
Lineage: Bacteria
Description: partial 16S ribosomal RNA
Rfam family: Bacterial small subunit ribosomal RNA
Source: RNAcentral